CCGACGGUGAGGGGCGAAGGCUGGGGGCGCAAACCGGAUUAAUACCCGGGUAGUCCCAGCAGUAAACGAUGCCAGCUAUGUGUUGCUGGAACCAUGGGUUCCAGCAGUGCCGAAGGGAAGCCGUGAAGCUGGCCACCUGGGAAGUACGGUCGCAAGGCUGAAACUUAAAGGAAUUGGCGGGGGAGUACCACAACCGGUGGAGCCUGCGGUUUAAUUGGAUACAACGCCGGGAAUCUUACCGGAGGGGACAGCAGUAUGAAGGCCAGGCUAAAGACCUUGCCAGAUCAGCUGAGAGGAGGUGCAUGGCCGUCGCCAGUUCGUACCGUGAGGCAUCCUGUUUAGUCAGGCAACGAUCGAGACCCGCAGUCUUAUUUGCCAGCAUGCCCUUUGGGGUGUAUGGGUACAAUAAGACGACCGCCAGCGCUAAGCUGGAGGAAGGAGCGGGCUACGGUAGGUCAGCAUGCCCCGAAUCCUCCGGGAUACACGCGGGCUACAAUGGUCAGGACAAAAGGUACCGACCUCGAAAGAGUGAGGUAAUCCACAAACCUGAUCUCAGUCCGGAUCGAAGGCUGCAACUCGCCUUCGUGAAGAUGGAAUCGGUAGUAAUCGUGACUCAGAAUGUCACGGUGAAUAUGUCCCUGCUCCUUGCACACACCGGCCG
This 661-nucleotide ribosomal RNA is filed under the name uncultured archaeon. RNAcentral's name for it is "bacterial SSU rRNA". It matches the Rfam family "Archaeal small subunit ribosomal RNA", at positions 691 to 1352 of the family's 1478-position model. The record is from RNAcentral.